This 3014-nucleotide long non-coding RNA is filed under the name Heterocephalus glaber (naked mole-rat). RNAcentral's name for it is "lncRNA (ENSHGLG00100047249.1)". The record is from RNAcentral. Lineage: Eukaryota; Metazoa; Chordata; Mammalia; Rodentia; Bathyergidae.
AGAAAUAGCAGCUUUUAUUUGAGACUCCACCAGUGGAAUUCAGAAUCAGGCUGGGCCUGAAUUUAGGAUCCUCCUGCCUCAGCCUCCAGAGUGCUGAGAUUACAGGUGUGCACCAGAUCGCCCAGUAAGCAUCCCAGUCUUUAGAUCAGAGGGAAGUAUCUAGAUGGAUAUUCUCACACCAGGCAGGAGUGAGUUUCCACUGGAGGCUCUCCCUUGUUGGCAGCAGAGCACAACUCUGGCUGAUUGAAGCAGAAAAGGAAUUUGUUAAAGGGCCAUUGUGUAGUUCAUGGAUGGAGGCAUGUGGGGUGAGACCAGACUCACCGGCCACCUGGGCAGGAAGAAGACCAGGGCCAAGGGCUGUCAGGACUGGCCCAGAACAACUCCACACCCACGUGGCUGCACCUAUGCGCACGACAGGACCAUGCAUGCCUCCUGCCCCUGAGAUCCGCCCACUGCUGCUUCUGGAAGAGGUGUGGCAUGACGUACACAGGAAGGACAGAGCCACCAGCUUUCCCGGGGCCAGCAGGCUGCUUGGCUUGUGUUUGCUCGGUCGACUGUCUGGAGCUGGAUCUGGAUACUUCUCAAAGGGGAGGAAGGACUGCAGAUGCUGGGAUGGACACAAGCAGAGUGGCCAGUGGCAGCUGUGUGUGUCUGCUGCAGGAAAGCUGAGAUGUUGAUCUACUCCUGAAAGGGCCCCCAGCAUUGGAUUGGGCUGCUUUCCUUACCUUUUCAGCCAGCACGCGGUUCUCCAGGCCGAAGAGCUCCCUUCUUGUCCUUCCUGCUGUCUGUUGUCUGGAGUGCUGUCAAAGCCAAAAGUGUGCUGAUCUGAAUAUGAUGUUCCUGACCCCUGCAGUCUGGUUGGGACCUGCUUUUCUAUAGAUUUUAGUUUGUUUUUCUUUUUUUUUUUUUUGGUACCAGGGAUCGAACUUGGGACCUUGUGCUUACGAGGCAGGCAGCGGAACCACUGAGCUAAAUCCGGGGCCCUCUAUAGAUCCUAGUACAAAGAGAUCUGCAGCAGGGUGCAUGUUGAGGGAGCAGCCAAACUUUCUGCACUGAUGCAGUGUGAUAACAAGUGGGACCAUGACCCAGGCCUGCUCAGGUGGGCAAAGCACAGGCUCCCCACCAGGAAAAGGGAGAGAUGUUAACGCUGGCUCUUAUCAUCACAUCUGGGAAAAGAGGUCCAGGAAAACAAGGCUUCAUCACAUGGACCUUUGAGCUUUACAGUCAGGCUUCCUGAAUGCUGCAGAUGCCCUGGGAAAAAUGGCAGACUUUCAGUUUGGGUCCUGGUGCAGAGGACACAUGUCCUUUACUAUUUUUCUAGGCAGAUAUGUCCUUUGAGGUUUCGGAUGGAGUGGGAGGUGCAAAUGCAGUGUGGCAUGUUGCUUAUGGUAAAGCUAAGUUGGGUUUCCUCCUGGACAGCCGUCCAGGACCCAAUCUGCCUCAUCCCUGGCAGAGCCCUCCUUGUGACGAUGCUGGACCUCCUCCCGAUUGUGGCUCCUGCUGGCAGAGUUGGAAAAGCAGAUGGGGCUCUGACUGCUCAGGAGGAGCCAUGGACGAGGGGUUCGGGCGGCUUACAGCCUGGCUCCACAGGGAGCACAUCCCGACGCUGCCUGCCACCUGGGUAGUGUGUGCCUGGUAAACAUUUGGCUGUCCCAGGAUGACAAUGAAGCAGAUGCUGACCCUCCACACUGUGUGACACAAGCCACUUCCCAUAGGUGGGUGCACAUGAGACUCGGUGGCCCUGGUGGCUUCCUUGCUGGCUCUCAAAAACCAGGUGUCUGGUUGACUUCUAAAAAGCAGGGGCUGGGUCAGAUGGUGGGGGGAAGACAGGGGACCCAGGAGCUGGCUGGGGACACAGGCCAGCAGAUGACUCCAUUUAUGCAAAAGUACACGAGCGCCACUCCCUUGAGACCAGAGCCAGGCAGUGUGUGAGGAAGACACUCUGGCAGCCAGCCUGCACCCUAACUGGAGCCACAGCUGCACGGUGACAACUAAGCCAAGGUAGCCUGGAAGUUGUGAGUCCUUGGCCCAAACCUGGCGUUCACAUGAGCUCUGGGCUCCUCAACCUUUUGUGACAUAGGUGGCACAGGAGCAGAUGUCACCCCAGAGGGCAUUUCCGAUCUUGGAAGGACCUGUGUCACUGGGGACUCCUCAGACAGCAGCAGAACCCUGUCCCACCAUCUACACUGUCCCGUCUACCCUGUUGUCCCUCUGCCUGCAUCGAAGAAGUGGUUCAGCGGGGAUCUGGACAGUCAGCCCUUUGGACAUCUUCCUUGUAGAAAUUCUGCAUCUCCACUACACAUACCACACACAUCUCUACCCUCCCUCCAUGUAUCAGUGUGUACAUGUAUUUAUACAAACAUGUAGGUGACCCCGGUCCCAAGCCCCACAACUGGAGUUGCCACCUGUAGCCGGCUUGACAAUGAUGAUGAUAACAGGGGACGGAUGGACACAUGGAACGGAUGUAGCUCUAGCAGACAGAGGAGCCCAGAACCUCCGGCUCACCUCGCUUUUAUUCACCCAAACAUGGGCACAAGUAAUCAAGAGCCAUGAGCCUUGUGACCUCAGAAGCUAGAAACAGAGUUCUCUGUCCGAAGCACUGAGCUCAGUAACCUUCUUGGGACACAGCGAGGCACUGUCCAAGAGCAGCCUGGCCUUUGUCUGAGGAUUUUGGCUUCCAAACCUUUGCAUGUGCUGCUCUUUGCCUGAACCCCCCCGGGGAGAACUUGGUCUUGCCAGUCCACUUGAUGACUUUUCCUCUGCAGAACCAGUGUCUGCAUGCAGGCCACCAAAACAAACACCCCAGCUUGGGGCCCGGAGUAACAGGAGUUUAUUCUGCAGGCGUUGGGUGCAUCUCCCUUCCUCGCUCAAAGACAGCCACCUGCGUAGUGGGUCCUCACCUGCUGGAGAGGGGCAGAAGGACCUCUUUGUUUCCCCUUGUAAGGACACUGAUCCCAAAGGGAGAGCCCCACGCCAGGACCUCUGGCUGUGGUUACCUCCCAGAGGCCCGUCUC